RNAcentral lists this long non-coding RNA (4829 nucleotides) under Nicotiana benthamiana. RNAcentral's name for it is "long non-coding RNA (NBEN_LNC004444)". Lineage: Eukaryota; Viridiplantae; Streptophyta; Magnoliopsida; Solanales; Solanaceae. The record is from RNAcentral.
UCCUUACAUCAUCUUCAUGCCCUCACGUGUGGCCCUCAACCUCAAUCAGUCCAAAAAUAGUCAAAAAGCCCCUCGGGCUUUAGUAAAACAAUAAUACUCAGCUCAAAUGAUAGUUCAAAUAUCAGUUAAAACUCCACGUUUGAGUAAAAAUAUAGUUGAGCUCAUGAAACAGUGUAAAUCACAUGGACUAAGUUCAAAUAAUAUUUCAAAUAGGGAGAAAACAGUGAUGAUAGCUCACAAGAGUUCAAACAAUCGGCAAUAAGCUCCAAGUAUGGCAAUGAGCCCAAGUCAUAAUGAUAACAACCAAUCAAUUACAAAUACGCGGUGAAAGCCAACAACCGGGACAGACCAAGUCACAUUCCCCAACGGUGCUCUACCCCACGCUCAGGUCCAGCGUGCAAGUCACCACAAUACAAUACUAAGAUGUGCAAAUCCGGGGUUUCAAACCCUCAGGACAUCAUUCCCAAGUAUUACUCACCUCGAACAGGCGAAAUCUCAAGCUCACGACGCCUUUGCCCAUAAAAUCGGCCACCACGCGCGUCGAAUCUAGCAAAAAACAGAGCGAAUACAUCACAAUAUCCAAAUGGGACAAUACCUAAUCGAAAACAAUUGGAAUAUGACAAGAAUCUCGAAACUAGCAAAACCGGAGCCCUGGGCCCGCUUCUCGAAAAUUCUGAAACUUACAUUUCCGGAAUUCUUGUCUCGCCACGAGUUCAUACAUACCAAGAACUCCCAAAUCCGAGCUGAAAUGACCUAUCAAAUCCCAAUUCAGAAAUGUCAAAAACUCAAGUCCUAGCUUCUUCAAUUUCAUACGCAAAUUCAGAGAAUUAAUGGAUGAUUCCUCGAUUAAAUGACGUUUUGAAUCCAUAAGAUUUACCUCCAAUCGAUCCUCUUCGAAUUCCUCUUCAAUUGUCCUCAAGAAGCUCCGAAAAUGCUCAACAAUGGAAGAAAAUGCAUAACCCUCGCGGAUGAAAAAUGAUAAUUUAACCCUUCUGCCCAGCUCGAUUUCCGCUUCUGCAGUCAUACCUCCGCUUGUGCGGCUCUCGCUUCUGCGUCCUUUCGACCGCUGAUGCAGCCCUACCUUUUCUCCCAGGGGCAGCUCGAUUUCUGCUUCUGCGGUCAUACCUCCGCUUAUGCAGCUCUCGCUUUUACGUCCUUUCGACUGCUGAUGCAGUCCAACCUUUUCUCCCAGCGACCGCUUUUGCGGUCAACUACCGCUUACACGGUCACCGCCUAUGCAGUUAUCCUUCCGCACCCGCGAUCCAGGCCAGUCCCCCAUUGGCCACUUCUGCGAUCCCACGUCCGCAUAUGCGGACUCGCUUAAGCAAAAAAGGUUCCACUUCUGCGGAACUACCCAGCUCCACAUCUGACCACUUAUGCGACCAACAUCACGCUUCCGCGGAGCCGCUUCUGCGGUCCAUUUUCCGCAGAAGCGCUAGACACCAGCAAGAUCUGCCACUUCUCAACUUAAGAUUUCAUCCCGAAAGCCACAUGAAAUUACCCCGAGGCCCCCUGGACCUCAAUCAAAUGUACCAACAUAUCCAAAACCAUAUAAGAACUUGUUCCAAUCCUCAAAAGACACACAACAACACUAAAAUCAUCAAAUUACCACGGAUUCAAGCCUAUUUUUCUUCAAAGCUUUCGAUUUGAACAUUUGAUCAAAAACCCAACCAAACGACGUCCGAAUGACCUGAAACUUUACAAACAUAUCAAAAAUCACCUAGCGAAACUAUUGCAACUCUCGAAAUUCCAUUAGGACUCUCGGAUCAAAAUCUCACAUAUCAACCGGGACUCGCCAAUAUUCAAAUUUCGCCAAUUCAAACAUAAUUCUACACCGUACCUCCAAAUUCAAUUCAGAUCGCUCUCCUAAGUCACAAAUCAUCAGGCUAACCGAAUCAUCGGAAAUCAAUCCGAGCCUUUUAACUCACAAGUCAACUUCCAGAUAACUUUUCCAAAACAAGCUUCCUUACUGAUAUUGAAACAUGAAACAACACAAUAAGGGGGAAACAUAGCAGUAACACAUAAGAUGACGGGUCAGGUCGUCACACCUUGGAGAUACGCCUAAUAUUAUUUAUCUCGGUUUGGGCAAAAUAUUCUUAAGGAAAAUGUCUUUGACACGCCUCAAGCUAAACUUUUAUUCUCCGUAAUCAUCAAUUGUUUCCGACAAUUAGUAGCUAGAUUGCAACUGCCUUUUUGAGUAUUUUUGAGGAAUCUGUCAUUAUUGUUUAGACUUCCAUGUGCCGCCAGUCUUAGGAUGAAGAUCCAUCUGGGCAGAACAAGAUUACUAGUUGAUAAAGUAUGUAUUUAAUAAUCAAUAUGAAAUCUAAAUAAUGAAAUGAUCUCGUUUAAUUUUUUAUUUCUCAAAAUGAUAAAAUAUCGUCUCAAAAUCGAGGAUGUAGGAGUUUACUAGAUUGUGACUUGUGUAUGGAAGAUUAAAGAUUGAAGCAUUUCAACAAACUUGAUAAGAAAGUGAUAGUACAUGCUAAGACCAAACAUUAUUUAAAAGUAGAAGAAAAGAAAAUAGUAUAAUAGAUCCAGUAAAUAUUAGAUUUCAUGAAAGGAUCAAAAAUAUUUCUAGAUAUAAUUUAAAAGGAAAAUCCAAUAUAAAGUUUUUAAUAUAUAAUAUAUAAUAUAUCUAUAUAUGUUAGUUUAGGUCGAAAUUUUCUUGCUCAAUACUGAACCAAACUAAUAUACUCAAUUUUUCUAAUCGAUUUGGAUCAACUUUUCAGUUAUAUUGCACACCCUUAGUCAUAAGCAGGGAUGUAUGUAACGAUCCGCCUGGUCGUUUUAUCUUUUAGAAUUUUGUUCUCUUAAAUAAAAUAUUUCGUGCUUGCUUUACCUAAUUUAUAAUUUGCGGGGACGAUUGGUUCGGGAUUUGAAAGUUUUGAGGGAAAGAUGCCUAUUUGAUUCCUUAGAAUUUUAUUAAAAGAUUAAUUUUAACUUUGAUCAAUAUUUUGAGAAAACAGAUCCGAAUUCGUAAUUUGACGGUCCCGGAGAAUCCGUGAGAAAAUAUGGGACCUGGAUAUAUGUCCGGAAUCAAAUUUCGUGGUCCCUAGCCCGAGUAAUGAAUUUUUAUUAGAAAUUGUUAAUCUGAAGUUUUAAGGAUUUAAAGAAACUAAGUAAUGAUUUAUUUCAUGGGUAUUAGGUGUCACACCCCUUUUUUUUAACAAACCAAACUCUACUUAAAUCCUCUUAAUUAAAUAAAAAAAAUUUAUUUAGCUUGAGAAGGGUUUUUCAAUUUUGAAAGUGACAAAAAUUUGUUUCAAAAGGAAAUAAACUCAGAGUCGCCACCUGACUUUGAUUUCGGUGUGCCAGGUCACCGUUCUUUUUAAAAAUAGUUAUUUUUCCUUUUAAAACAUUUCUGACUCUAAAACCAAGUCCGCACCAGAGAUUCAGGUAAAUGGGUUCAUUUGACUCGGGGAGAAGGUGUUAGGCACUCCCCAAAUUCCGUGAAGGUCACGGUUGCGUACUUGAUCUAGUUGGCUUUUUAAAACAUUUAAAUUGAGGUAAAUUACAAAAAAGCAAAGCAAACACACAUGAAGCUCAAGGUCGUCCCUACCUAAUAAAAGAAAAUAAAACAAAAUGAAAUUAGUCUUGAUAAUAACCUAUAUUACGCCUCCAUUGAUGUUGCCGCGGCCUCCAAAUACAAGUACUUUGGGGCAUUCCCCGGAAUAAAAUAUACACAAGUCCUUCGGACAUUCCCCGGAUAAAUUUAAUUAAGGGAACGACCUCUCGCCUCGAAACUAACAAAAUCCUAAGAUUUGCCUAUCCGAGUGUGAUCGGUCUAAACAUGCUCCUAGCGAGUCAAUGAGCAAAUGCAAAAUAAAAAUAAUAGAAAUCCAAUUGAUUCUAUUUAAUCAAACCCAUACUCAUCCGACAAUGAGUUUCAGUUUUCUCAAAUAAAUACCUUCCAAUAUCAAUUUCCUUCAUUGUGGACACCUAAUUAAGCAUGAAUCAUCUUCUCUCUUUUUUUAACAAAAAAAUGCAUACACCAGCAAUGAGCAUUUGUGAAAUCGUGGCACUACUGAACAAUCAUGUUUUGCUCCAUUAACCCAAGCAACUAAAUCUUGUUUCCAAAUUAAACAAUUUAAAUUCAAGAUAUCAUAAAGGAGAAAGAAAUUCGCAUCAAUCCAUCACCCAAACACUGUAUAAGAUAGAGUCAAUAAAUAUAAGGAAAGGAUAGUAAUGAACCUCAAAUUGAUAGCUUUUCCGAUUACAGUAGCAGUGACGGAACAAGAAUCAAGACCCGAGCUCGACCGGAAAUCCUCGUCGGCAACCUCGACGAACUCAAAUUGAAUCACGGCUCAUUCACAAUCUGAUUCGCUUGGAGCGGUUGGGAAACGAUGGCGGGCUGCUAGUUCCUCUCGUUCGCUGCCUCUGUUUUUCCCAUGUUCUCGAUUGUGCGUGCGUGUGUGGCAAAUGACUAUGAGGGUCUCGAUUUUCUGUCAAGCCAAAGGGUUGAAAUGGCUAUAGAGAAUGUUUUAUUUGUGUUUGUUUGGUUCCGAAAGCUAGUUUGGAGAUCAGUCCUUUUUUUUCGUAAAAAAUGAGGUCUGCCGUCUCUUUGUUGUUUAGGAUAUUAAAAUGUUUGGCUCUUUCGUCGGUUUUCUUAGAAGUGUUGGCUCAUUUUUUGGUGAAAUUCCUGAAGAAGAAAUCAAUGGCUGCCUUAGUAUAUACGGCUCUUCGGUUUUUUGUGUCUUAAGGUUCAAAAAUGAAGAAGAAGACCUUGUCUCUUUACGUCUUACUAGGGUUUAUCUUUUUAGGAUUGGGCUCAAAAUCUUGUGGCCUAUUUUGAAUUGGACCAAAUUUGGAUAAGAAAAGCUUAACAAGCC